Branchiostoma floridae (Florida lancelet) is the source of this 2015-nucleotide long non-coding RNA. RefSeq lists it as uncharacterized. The record is from RefSeq and is a predicted model, not a curated record. The transcript has 4 exons. Lineage: Eukaryota; Metazoa; Chordata; Leptocardii; Amphioxiformes; Branchiostomatidae.
UCUGUUUUUCUAUUGUUUUUUAUAAUGUUAAUGGCUUACUUUUCUGUUUUCGUGUAAUAUCUAUGAUAACAUAGACCCUGCUUUCCCCCUCAAGGCCGUCAGAGUGGUAUAUCCUUUACAGACGACCGAAACAUUUUCAGAGGGAAGGCGGGCUCAGAUUUGCCAAAAUCGUGCAACUUUUCUUCUCUCAGAGGAAGAGCGGUCGUUCUUAUUCUACCCUCGCCUAAAUGUGAAGAUGAAGACAAACUUACUUGACCUGCUGAUGGUAGUUGUAGUACCAAACUUAUCAGACAGGGGGAGCAGUUGUGCCAUGAAUUUGUUGACAGGCUGAGGUGGAGGUAUACAUACAUGUAUUAUACUUAUGAACCUGAGACCCAGUGAUAUUCUGUCUACAGCACAUGUAUCCAGAUGGAAAAAUGUUGAAGCAGCUUUACUAUGGUCCUGAUCUCAAGUUCUGGUUGACUGAUGAGUUUCCUACUGUGCUGCUCUGGUGACAAUCUGGUGGGAUGAAAUGAUAUGCAGUUGCAUUGGAAAUACGAUAUUUCCAUGGAUAAACCCCUUGGUUACAAGACGUUUUCCAUGGAACAAGGACUGUGAGAGAGGACAUUCUGCUGGGAUAGGAGUGAAUCUGUGAUAACCCCAAAUCAGUGAUAUCCUCUGUUAUAUUUGCUUUGCCAACACCUGCAUUCUACUUCACUGGGGCAAAAGCUAUCAAAGAACUGACGACCAAUUAAGAACAUUCCUAUCAUGGGAGUUGGUUGUGCUGAACUGCAAGGAUUCAUCACUGUCAUCAUGCUGAACCAUCACCUAGAAUAUCCCGAAAAAUGGGAAAGCCCUCUCUCUGUAUGGUCGGCUACUAGUCACACCGUUUGCAAGAUUCUCUCCUGACCUGUAGUGACCUGUACUGACCAGCUUGCCAGUCCAGUGGCACUGGCUGCUUGUUGGCAGAGUAUCUGAUUACAUCUGUUGUGUUGUUUCAACUGUAGUAAGAGGGGGAUCAGGGUGUUUUGACCAUGCCGUUGAACAAAGACUGCCCAUCUACUCUUCAGAGAUGGUGUAAGAGAUAGAAGUUCAAUUCCAGAAGGAAUGGUAUGUCCACUCAAAGGAGUUAAUGAAUGCGGAGAAGGGGCAAGCCACGCUGACCUCCAGGGUCGUGUCAACAAUACCCAUAAAUACAGGGGUCAUGGGAGUUGGCUGGAGCUCCGCUGAUCCCCAGCCUUGUACAAUGACCAAACUGCAUAGAGGCACAACAUGCGCACACAGUUCUUCACUAUGUGCCAGCUAGCAAGUGGUCAGUCAGUGUGAGAAAAGGGCAUUCACGGUAGACAUCCGUUCUGGCCUGUCCAGUUCACAUCUCUUUAUGGUAUCGGCUUGACCAUCACAAGCUGGCCAGGACCCCCGAAAGUUUGUAUCCCCUAUACGUGUGCUUUUGAGAUAUCGGACAAGCAGGACUGAAGUUAGUGAAGAGGCCCUACAGAUUGAACAGAGCUCUGUCAACAAGAAGGCGGAGCCAACUGUCCUUGGAUCCCCUGGCACCAGGCAGAAAUAGGGGAGGACAAAGGUCACCAACUGACCAGCAUCCAAAACAUGUGCUUAUCCAGUAAACUCCCUAUGGGCCAAACUGGUCUGACAGGGAGAGGAAUAUUUCUCAGGUUUGACCACAUUCCAGGGCCUGUUUGAGGUGUGAGCCUGCGCCCAUAAGUACAAUCAAUUGGCUGUUGAUUAAUAGAACGCAACACUGUUUACACUCGGGGAGCGGGGCUGGAUUGGAUGUGGGGUAACUGAAGUAAACUGAAGCUGUCUUUACGAAAACAGUAAAACACUGAACAUACAACACACACAUCCUUACCUGCAGCAACGCAUUAUGCAGUAAAAACGUAAGCCAAUGGCACUUUUACUCUUAUACAUCUUACUUUCAACUACUUAUAUAGUAUCAAUUUAUACUAUCAAAGAUUUUUAUUGUAUAUCACAUGUUGAAGAUGGACAUAUCGAAUAAAGUCUAUUUAUGUCCCAAA